UACAGAGGGGGCGAGCGUUGUUCGGAAUUACUGGGCGUAAAGGGCGCGUAGGCGGCCUGUUAAGUCGAACGUGAAAUCCCCGGGCUCAACCCGGGAACUGCGUCCGAUACUGGCAGGCUUGAAUCCGGGAGAGGGAUGCGGAAUUCCAGGUGUAGCGGUGAAAUGCGUAGAUAUCUGGAGGAACACCGGUGGCGAAGGCGGCAUCCUGGACCAAUUCUGACACUGAGGAGCGAAAGCCAGGGGAGCAAACGGG
RNAcentral lists this ribosomal RNA (253 nucleotides) under uncultured bacterium. RNAcentral's name for it is "partial 16S ribosomal RNA". It matches the Rfam family "Bacterial small subunit ribosomal RNA", at positions 524 to 776 of the family's 1533-position model. The record is from RNAcentral.